RNAcentral lists this ribosomal RNA (497 nucleotides) under uncultured bacterium. RNAcentral's name for it is "bacterial SSU rRNA". It matches the Rfam family "Bacterial small subunit ribosomal RNA", at positions 30 to 524 of the family's 1533-position model. The record is from RNAcentral.
AUUGAACGCUGGCGGCAGGCCUAACACAUGCAAGUCGAGCGCGAAAGUCUUCGGAUGAGUAAAGCGGCGAACGGGUGAGUAAUGCAUGGGAAUCUGCCUGGUAGUGGGGGACAACGUCUCGAAAGGGACGCUAAUACCGCAUACGCCCUACGGGGGAAAGGGGGGGAUCUUCGGACCUCUCGCUAUCAGAUGAGCCCAUGUCAGAUUAGCUAGUUGGUGAGGUAAAGGCUCACCAAGGCGACGAUCUGUAACUGGUCUGAGAGGAUGAUCAGUCACACUGGAACUGAGACACGGUCCAGACUCCUACGGGAGGCAGCAGUGGGGAAUAUUGGACAAUGGGGGGCAACCCUGAUCCAGCCAUGCCGCGUGUGUGAAGAAGGCCCUAGGGUUGUAAAGCACUUUCAGUGGGGAGAAAGGUUAUUCACCUAAUACGUGAGUAGAUUGAUGUUACCCACAGAAGAAGCACCGGCUAACUCCGUGCCAGCAGCCGCGGUAAU